UACAGAGGUCUCAACCGUUGUUCGGAUUCAUUGGGCGUAAAGGGUGCGUAGGCGGUCGCGCAAGUCGGAUGUGAAAUCUCAGGGCUCAACCCUGAAACUGCAUUCGAUACUGCGUGGCUAGAGUGCUGGAGAGGAGACUGGAAUUUACGGUGUAGCAGUGAAGUGCGUAGAUAUCGUAAGGAAGACCAGUGGCGAAGGCGAGUCUCUGGACAGCAACUGACGCUGAGGCACGAAGGCCAGGGGAGCAAACGGG
RNAcentral lists this ribosomal RNA (253 nucleotides) under uncultured bacterium. RNAcentral describes it as "partial 16S ribosomal RNA". It matches the Rfam family "Bacterial small subunit ribosomal RNA", at positions 524 to 776 of the family's 1533-position model. The record is from RNAcentral.